RNAcentral lists this ribosomal RNA (707 nucleotides) under uncultured Alphaproteobacteria bacterium. RNAcentral describes it as "bacterial SSU rRNA". It matches the Rfam family "Bacterial small subunit ribosomal RNA", at positions 8 to 762 of the family's 1533-position model. The record is from RNAcentral. Lineage: Bacteria; Pseudomonadati; Pseudomonadota; Alphaproteobacteria.
AGAGUUUGAUCAUGGCUCAGAACGAACGCUGGCGGCAGGCCUAACACAUGCAAGUCGAGCGCACCUUCGGGUGAGCGGCGGACGGGUUAGUAACGCGUGGGAACGUGCCCAGAUCUGCGGAAUAGCCACUGGAAACGGUGAGUAAUACCGCAUACGCCCUUCGGGGGAAAGAUUUAUCGGAUUUGGAUCGGCCCGCGUUAGAUUAGGUAGUUGGUGGGGUAACGGCCUACCAAGCCUACGAUCUAUAGCUGGUUUUAGAGGAUGAUCAGCAACACUGGGACUGAGACACGGCCCAGACUCCUACGGGAGGCAGCAGUGGGGAAUCUUGGACAAUGGGCGCAAGCCUGAUCCAGCCAUGCCGCGUGAGUGAUGAAGGCCUUAGGGUCGUAAAGCUCUUUCGCCAGGGAUGAUAAUGACAGUACCUGGUAAAGAAACCCCGGCUAACUCCGUGCCAGCAGCCGCGGUAAUACGGAGGGGGUUAGCGCUGUUCGGAAUUACUGGGCGUAAAGCGCGCGUAGGCGGACCAGAAAGUUAGGGGUGAAAUCCCGGGGCUCAACCCCGGAACUGCCUCUAAAACUCCUGGUCUAGAGUUCGAGAGAGGUGAGUGGAAUUCCGAGUGUAGAGGUGAAAUUCGUAAAUAUUCGGAGGAACACCAGUGGAGAAGGCGGCUCACUGGCUCGAUACUGACGCUGAGGUGCGAAAAGUGU